AUCAACAUUAGUCAAAGGUUGUCGCCCAAACUUUUAACCAAAUACUGAACAAUGGCAUACCACAAUCCUACAACAAUUAACUCAUUAUAUUCUCAUCACAAUCCUCCAAAGAGAAAACAGAGGAACCUUCAUACAUGAAGAUGUCCUUACCAGCCAUCCCAACUAUAAAGCGAAGCCCUUCAAAUAUUCUGGAUCUCGCUUUGCACGUUCUUGGAAUUUCUUGAACCAGCGAUCCAAUAUAUCCAUAGGCACCACCAGCUUACUGCCAUCCACUCCACAAAAUGACUGCAUAAAAUUGAAUAAAUUCUCGCCAACUUUCAGUGCCAACCUCUCAAUUUUCUG
RNAcentral lists this unclassified non-coding RNA (342 nucleotides) under Hevea brasiliensis (rubber tree). The record is from RNAcentral. Lineage: Eukaryota; Viridiplantae; Streptophyta; Magnoliopsida; Malpighiales; Euphorbiaceae.